This is a long non-coding RNA of Rhinolophus ferrumequinum (greater horseshoe bat), 1821 nucleotides long. RefSeq lists it as uncharacterized. The transcript is spliced from 5 exons. The record is from RefSeq and is a predicted model, not a curated record. Lineage: Eukaryota; Metazoa; Chordata; Mammalia; Chiroptera; Rhinolophidae.
GAAAGCGUGUGCAGGCCUGAAGAACCACCUCCGCUUUUGCACUAGGUGGUAGCAGUGCCUGUGCGACAAUCAGACCCGGUUCAUUCCGGUUGCCUUUGCCUAGGAUCCCGGUUCUGAGAUCGUCUGGGACCACCCGAAGCCCAAGCAGUGACCCGACUGCCGGCAGAGAUUCCCUGUAGGAAACGGCCGAACUCUUGGGGACAGCGCUAACAGAGAUCUAAGGGCCUAGGCCGGGCCGGUAGCCAAACGAGGCCCGUGACGCCCUUGGAGAAUGAGAGACGUGACAUAAGAGUCCCAAGGGAGCAACCCUGAAAGCCAGCGCCUCCUGAACACUGCCGGGGGCGAGACAACUUUAGACACUGUACCCAGGUGUACGAAGCAUCACUUCCUUCAGACAGACACGCAGCAGAUUGAUAGAUGAAGCAUAAAGCAAGACCAGAUGCUGUGGUAUCCAGGAUGCACUUGGCUUCCUAUCCUUUAGAACCUGGAGCAUUUUUUGCUGUUUGUUCCUGAUAUGUCCACCAGAGACCAGUCCCAUCACAAUGAGUCUUGGUAUCCACAGGGUUUAAGAACAUGGACAUUGCUGCCCAACAGACCUGGGUUUGAAUCUCUUGUUCUCAUGGAGUUCUGAAGACGAAAACAUCUUGUAAAAAUGCAAGUCUUUAUAGAGCUAUUGAUUUUUUUAAAUCUAGAGAUUUAUCUUAUAUUUCAUUGUCAUUUAUUAUUUGUUUAGGGAAAACUUCCUUACUUAGGCUGCUGAGUGGGUUUUGCACAAAAGAAAGAUAUUAGUUCAAUGGAUGAAAGUGAGAUGCUGAACCAGAUUUGAGAUUUUAGAGAUCGAUACUUUGCAAACUAUAACCUUAUUACCCUUGAGAACUACCGUAACAUCAGAGCUGCGAUUCCUCAUGUGAAAUUUAAUUCAUGUAAGCACAACACAUUUUUGAAAGUAUUUACUAUGUGUGACUCAUGGAAAUGCUCCUAAAAUUGAGGGAGUUUUAUUGAACAAAACAAAUGAUAUGUCCUGUUCAGAGACUGAGCGCCUGGCCUUCAAAGGCAAAGGCCAGAGCAAAACUUGCUGAUUUUAGAUAUUUAAGAAUUAACUAUCAGGAGCAUUUGAGAUCUUGCUUCCAUACAUGUUGUCAGUUUGGGUCAAAUAAACUCUUAUAAAAAUUCUUAAAAAAAAAAAAGUAUUAAAUAUCUACUAGACCUUCUUCUUUCACCUAAAAGAGAGAGAGAGGCCCAGCAGUAGUGGACUAGAAGCUAACGUUAAAAUCACUCUCCCUACCUUUCUGUUGUCAGUGUUUCUGGAACCAGAAAAACAAAACAGGGGUAAGAAAGAAAGAAAACAGCAAAACCUGUAACUUGAGUUACUGAAGAGCAGGAAACAAAUCAAGUAUACUAAGUUGGCAGUGCUCAAAGUCCCAUUCAACUUCACAAUAGUAUACAUGAUAGAGUUUCACAAACCUUUCCACUUUCUAGUCUGCUGCUUAUUAACUUUAAAUACCAGAACCAUUCUGAGAGCUUUGAAUGCCUGAAUAAGGCCCGGUGCCAGAGGUAUGCCCCACACCCAUUUCUUUAUGUCUCUGAGUUCUCAUCUAAAUGAGAAAACACAAAAGGGGAUAGUAAAGGAAAGGAGACAGAGAGGUUGACACCCUAACAGUGUUCUCUAUCUCUACAGUGUUUUGCAAAAUCCUCAACAGAUGCUAAUGAUUCUUCCCUUACUAAAAGUGUCAUUAGAAUUCUGUCUACCCUGUUUAGCCGAAAAUAAGACCUAGCCGGACAAAUCAGCUCUAAUGCAUCUUUUGGAGCAAAAAAUAAUGU